Molecule: long non-coding RNA, 514 nt
Filed under: Olea europaea subsp. europaea
Lineage: Eukaryota; Viridiplantae; Streptophyta; Magnoliopsida; Lamiales; Oleaceae
Source: RNAcentral
AGAAAUUCGAUACUCUAUAGCUUUUCAGUCAACCUCCAACAUUACCAGGUGUAGUUAAAUUAUUUUUUACUUCAUGUACUUUCAUGUGCUGUAGUGAAAAAAUAAAUGCAAAAUGUUCCCUAAUAAACGAAUAUAUUACAAAUAAAUUUGCUUCAUUUGGAUAAACGGAAGUUCCCGUCGGCAGUGUGGAACGUGAACUCUGCGGCUUGGGUAUGCAAGGUUUCAAAGUUCACAUCAGCAAAGUGUUGCUCAUCCUCCAAUGAGAGCAUUCCGACCAAUAAAAGCCAAAUUGUUGCACCAUACUCGUCUUUCUAUUUUAUGAGACUUUUUGUACUAUGCAUAGAUAAAAGCAUUCCAGUUGAUCAUCGAUAAUCAACUUGUUACAAACGACUGCGAUUAUUGAAUCUCUCGAAGGUAGCCUAUUUGGACAAGUGGUUAGCAGCAGCACCACUAAAGUUAACUAACGACAUGAGCUUGUUUGACUGUGCCUAAAAGUAACUUUAACAGUUACAUU